CUACCAUAUGAUGAAUAUGGAUUACACUAACUCACGACGGUCGUCUGAGUUCACUAUGAUGUAUUAAUCCGAUAAUUCUGAUGGUU
Non-coding RNA from Cicer arietinum (chickpea), 86 nucleotides. NCBI's taxonomy places the organism in Eukaryota, Viridiplantae, Streptophyta, Magnoliopsida, Fabales, Fabaceae. The record is from Rfam.